RNAcentral lists this ribosomal RNA (492 nucleotides) under uncultured bacterium. RNAcentral's name for it is "partial 16S ribosomal RNA". It matches the Rfam family "Bacterial small subunit ribosomal RNA", at positions 29 to 507 of the family's 1533-position model. The record is from RNAcentral.
AGUGAACGCUGGCGGUAGGCCUAACACAUGCAAGUCGAACGGCAGCACAGUAAGAGCUUGCUCUUACGGGUGGCGAGUGGCGGAAGGGUGCGGAAUACAUCGGAAUCUACUUUUUCGUGGGGGAUAACGUAGGGAAACUUACGCUAAUACAGCAUACGACCUACGGGUGAAAGCAGGGGAUCUUCGGACCUUGCGCGAGUGAAUGAGCCGAUGUCGGAUUAGCUAGUUGGCGGGGUAAAGGCCCACCACGGCGACGAUCCGUAGCUGGUCUGAGAGGAUGAUCCGCCACACUGGAACUGAGACACGGUCCAGACACCUACGGGAGGCAGCAGUGGGGAAUAUUGCGCAAUGGGGGAAAGCCUGAUCCAGCAAUACCGCGGGAGUGAAGAAGGCCUUCGGGUUGUAAAGCCCUUUUGUUGUGAAAGAAAAACAGCACGUUAAUACCCCGCUGUUCUGACGGUACCCAAAGAAUAAGCACCGGCUAACUUCGUG